Molecule: transfer RNA, 65 nt
Filed under: Paramblynotus sp. ZJUH 20220012
Lineage: Eukaryota; Metazoa; Arthropoda; Insecta; Hymenoptera; Liopteridae
Description: tRNA-Pro
Source: RNAcentral
UAAAAAAUAGUUUAAUAAAAACAUUAAUUCUGGAGAUUAAAAUUAUAAUAAAAUUAUUUUUUUAU